RNAcentral lists this long non-coding RNA (2654 nucleotides) under Canis lupus familiaris (dog). RNAcentral describes it as "lncRNA (ENSCAFG00845030353.1)". Lineage: Eukaryota; Metazoa; Chordata; Mammalia; Carnivora; Canidae. The record is from RNAcentral.
GCAAACCAGAAAUUGAAGCAGACGGAGCAUGUCUUCCACAGUGUCAGGCAAGGGAGUUGGCUUGCGGAGAGUCAGCCCGGACAUACUGGGAGAGCAGGUGACAGAAGAAGCCCACCUUGGCUCAGUGAGGCUGACAGCCUAACUCCUCUGUGAGCUGCUUUCCACAUGGAUAUGAGUGAGGGGCAAUGUGGCCUGCUGCUUGGGGCCAUCUGGGUUGGAACCCCAGCACGUACUCCCCAGCCCUCCAACUUUGGAUGAGUCACAAACCUCUCAACCUUGGUCUCCUGCUGUGUCCAAGACCCAGCCCUCCUCUGUGUAAGGCUCACUCCUAGGCCACGUGGAUACAGCAGAACCAGGGCCAACCAAGUUCCACUCUCAAGGCGUUUACACUGUGGUGGGAAAGUCAGGAUAUGAAGAACAGGAGUCCUGAUCUGGAACAAAUAAUCCUAAAAUUUGUAUGGAACCAGAAAAGAUCCCAAAUAGUCAAAGGAAUGUUGAAAAAGGAAACCAAAACUGGUGGCAUCACAAUAUUCACAAUAUUGGACUUCAAGUUCUAUUACAAAGGCAUAAUCAUCAAGACAAUAUGAUACUUGCACAAAAACAGACACACAGAUAAAUGGAACAGAAAAGAGAACCCAGAAAUGGACCCUCAACUCUAUGAUAAACUAGUCUUUGACAAAGGAGGAAAGUGUAUCCAAUGGAAAAAAAAAGUCUCUUCAAAACACGGUGUUGGGAAAAUUGGACAGCCACAUGCAGAAAAAUGAAAUGGGACCAUUUCCUCACACCAUGCACAAAAAGAGACUCGAAAUGGAUGAAAAACCUAAAUGUGAGAUAGGAAUCCAUCAAAGUCCUAGAGGAGAACACAGGCAGCAAUCUCUGUGACCUCAGUUGCAGCAAAUUCUUGCUGAACACAUCUCCAAAGGCAAAGGAAACAAAGGCAAAAAUCAAUCAUUGGGACUUCAUUAGGAUAAAAAGCUUUUGCACAACAAAGGAAAUAGUCAACAAAACUGAAAGACAGCUGACAGAAUGGGAGAAGAUAUUUGUAAAUGUCUUAUCAGAUAAAGGGCUGGUAUCCAAAAUCUGUAAAGAACUUAUCAAGCUCAACACCCAAAGACUAAAUAAUCUAAUCAAGAAAUAGGCAGAAGACAUGAACAGACACUUCUCCAAAGAAAACAAAAAAAUGGCCAACAGACACAUGAAAAAGUGCUCAACAUCUCUUGGCGUCAGGGAAAUACAAAUCAAAACCACAAUGAGAUAUGACCUCAUACCAGUCAGAAUGGCUAAAAUUGACAAGUCAGAAAAUGAGAGAUGUUGGUGAGGAUGCAGAGAAAGGGGAAUCUUUCCCUGUACACUGUUGGUGGGAAUGCAAGCUUGUGCAUGGAAGUUCUUCAAAAAGUUAAAAUAGAGCUAUCCUAUGACCCAGCAAUUGCACUAAAGACACAAAUGUGGUGAUCCAAAGGGGCACUUGCACCCCAAUAUUUAUGGCAGCAAUGUCCACAAUACCCAAACUAUGGAAAGAGCCCAGAUGUCUACUGACAGAUGACUGCAUAAAGAAGAUGUGCUGUAUAUAUACAAUGGAAUAUUACUCAGCCAUCAAAAAUGUAAUCUUACCAUUUGCAAUGACACGGAUAGAGGGUAUUAUGCUAAGCAAAAUAAGUCAAUCAGAGAAAGACAAUUAUCAUAUAAUCUCACUUGUAUGUGGAAUUUAAGAAACAAAACAGAGGAGCGUGGGGAAGGGAAGAAAAAAAUAAAAACAAGACAAAAUCAGAGAAGGAGACAAACCAUAAGAGACUUUUUUUUAAAGAUUUUAUUUAUUAUUCAUGAGAGACACACAGAGAGGGAGAGGCAGAGACACAGGCAGAGGGAGAAGCAGGCUCCAUGCAGGAAACCCGAUGUGGGACUCAAUCCCAGGACUCCAGGAUCACACCCUGAGCCAAAGGCAGACACUUAACUGCUGAGCCACCCAGGUGUCCCAAAUUUAAAUCUUUAAAAAAAGGGGGGGGGGGAUUCCAACACAUAAAAAAAGAAUAGGCAGGACUAAACUAUUUAGAAUAGGGUUACAUAGUGGAUGAUAAAACAAUACACCUUUCAAGCCAUAGGUGGGAACUUGAUCACACCCCUACUUCCUUCCAAGAAACCAAGUUAGAGCCAGGGCUCAAAGUGUCCUUCCAUCUCACACUCACUUCUAGUGGACUAGAAUUUGAAGAGGACACAGUGACAGGAAUUCUGUGUCUUGAUGCCUUUUACUGCAGCCAGUAGACCACAGCCAAUACCUGACAGACUCCUUUCUGCUAGGAACUUCUCGUUUUUGGAAGGAGACACUAGAUAACAGUGAAAAAUUCUCAAGUGGCCAAAUAUACAUAUAAUUGGAGUCCCUACAACAAAGGAUAAAGAAAAAUGGAAUAUUUUUAAAAACCUUGAAGAAAUUACAGCCAGUAGUAGCUUUUCAAAUCUGAUUUUAGAAGAGCAAAAUAAGGGAUGCCUGGGUGGCUCAGCAGUUGAGCAUCUGCCUUUGACUCAGGGCAUGAUUCCAGGGUCCUGGGAUUGAGUCCUGCAUUGGGAUACCUGCAGGGAUCCUGCUUCUCCCCUCUGCCUCUGCCUCUGCCUCUCUGUCUGUGUCUCUCAUGAAUAAAUAAAUAAAAUCUUUUAAAAAA